RNAcentral lists this long non-coding RNA (228 nucleotides) under Olea europaea (common olive). Its description in RNAcentral is "long non-coding RNA (OEUR_LNC001210)". Lineage: Eukaryota; Viridiplantae; Streptophyta; Magnoliopsida; Lamiales; Oleaceae. The record is from RNAcentral.
UCAGUCGUCAAAGUUCCCAUAGCCUGCUGGAGACUCUGCACAUCUCGGCUGAUCCCCGUGGUGGUGGUGAAAAUCUGCCUCAAAACCUGAUUGUCCAUAUCAACCUGGGGUGGUGGUGGAGGAAUUUGAGGCAUGUCAAGGUCUGCAUCUGCUUGACCUUCCUCAUUCAAUUGCUGUCGUCGUCGUGCGUUUUCUAAUUUCUGUUGGUGCUUCAGUCUUGCUCGAUCU